Molecule: long non-coding RNA, 239 nt
Filed under: Panax ginseng (ginseng)
Lineage: Eukaryota; Viridiplantae; Streptophyta; Magnoliopsida; Apiales; Araliaceae
Description: long non-coding RNA (PGIN_LNC018806)
Source: RNAcentral
ACAGGAGUGUUUGGACAAAUAAAUUAAAUAAUUAUAUUCUCUCACUUCCUUUUUAUUGAAGGCUUGCACUCUUUAUAUCCCAUAAUAGUCUCAUCAAACUCACAUAAAUAUGAGAAUCAAACUAAUGACAUGAUGAUCUUAGAUCUUGAACGUUAACCAUUAAAUUAAGAGUCCGUGGACAGGGUGGUGCCGUGUAAUAAAAGUAUUUUAAGUUAAAUUUUGAAAUAUUUUAACAUUUG